This 378-nucleotide unclassified non-coding RNA is filed under the name uncultured Latescibacterota bacterium. Its description in RNAcentral is "uncultured Latescibacteria bacterium contains 16S-23S intergenic spacer region". Lineage: Bacteria; Pseudomonadati; Candidatus Latescibacterota. The record is from RNAcentral.
UCCGGUUUGUCACCGGCAGUCUCCUUAGAGUGCCCAACGUAACUUGCUGGCAACUAAGGACAAGGGUUGCGCUCGUUGCGGGACUUAACCCAACAUCUCACGACACGAGCUGACGACAGCCAUGCAGCACCUGUUCACCGGCCCCGAAGGGGAGGUGUGUUUCCACACCGGUCCAAUGCAUGUCAAGUCUGGGUAAGGUUCUUCGCGUUGCAUCGAAUUAAACCACAUGCUCCACCGCUUGUGCGGGCCCCCGUCAAUUCCUUUGAGUUUCAACCUUGCGGUCGUACUCCCCAGGCGGGGCACUUAAUGCGUUAGCUGCGGCACAGGAGGGGUCGAUGCCUCCUACACCUAGUGCCCACCGUUUACGGCUAGGACUAC